RNAcentral lists this ribosomal RNA (96 nucleotides) under Acinetobacter baumannii. The record is from RNAcentral. RNAcentral also lists the same sequence under 4 other names. Lineage: Bacteria; Pseudomonadati; Pseudomonadota; Gammaproteobacteria; Moraxellales; Moraxellaceae.
GGUCCCACCUGACCCCAUGCCGAACUCAGAAGUGAAACGCCGUAGCGCCGAUGGUAGUGUGGGGUCUCCCCAUGCGAGAGUAGGACACUGCCAGGC